UGCAAGGUGCGGGCCCAUGAAUUUGUGCAGCGGUGAGGAACGGAAAUGUGCAAAUGAAGAAGUUUUCGCUUUUUUGAAGCAGGGUCUGACUGUGUAGUCCAGGCUUGAGCUCACAUUGCUGGCCGGGAGCUCUGUAGCGACCCUUUUGCCUCAGCCUCCCAAGUCUGCCUCACACUCACAGCUGGAAUUUAGGAAUAGCCAGGGCUGGGUGUGCAGCAUGUGCCAGGCCUUGGGUUCCAUCCCAGCGCCAAAAAAAUGACCCCUGAGCAGAUUUCACAUCUGCAGCAAAACACUCAACCAGAUCCAAGGCUUCCCCGAUGCAGUCCAAGGCGGAGGGGCCUGGGUUUUGCACCACUCCGCUGGAUCCGCUCCCCAGCCCAGGGUGGCUCCCUCAGCCCUCUGUCCCCUGCACACCAGGCACACCAGUUAUCUGCUGGGAAGCGGCUGGCAGCGAGACCUCAUGAGUCAUGUGUGUCAUCAGGACAGAGUGGCACUGUCACCAAGCCCCCAGUGCAAAGCAGCCAGAAGGUGGAAAUGAGGCUCCCACCACACAGGCAGGCAGGACCCCAAUGUUCACAUCGAGGGUCCCGGCCACCGCGAAGCGGCCAGUGAGAGCUGUCCUGCGCCCCAGCCACCCCGGCCCUAGCCUUGUCCCCAGCCCUGGGGGUCAGCUGGGAGCGGCCUCCCCAGCUGCCUCCGGAAGUGAGGCAGCUCUUUCGUGUCCCAGGGACCAGGACGGGAAGGGCGGCCAUUUGGCCGGGUCCGUUUCCUGUGGGGUUUCCCCUGCACACAGCCUGGGCCGUGCCAAGGCCACUCCUGUCGCCACAGGCGCGCGAGUCCGGUCCCGCGUGGGGAGGCCGCGGCCACGCAGGUGCCCCGGGCCCGGACUGCUUCUCGUCCAGGCUCCGGCUCAGUCCUGGGGGCCGGGCUCCCCCGCCAGGCCAGCGCCAGGGAUGGAGCAGCUGGGAUCGGAAAAUACCAAGGCCCGCAGGCCCCGCCCUGCCGUCCGCCCAGCCUGUCACCCGCGUCUCCUGGUGGCCCAGACUCCUCCAGAAGCCCGGCCAGCCCAGCGCAGAGGAAGGGGCGCCAGGCCUGACCACUGCCCCCUCCCCCAAAUCCCGCCCCAUGGGAUGGGCAAGGAGGACCAGGAGGGGGUCUCCCAGGGCAGGGCACUGUCAGGCUUAGCACGCUGUGGGGGAGGGGCAGGGCACUUGCGGGGGGGCCGUGGCCCACCCAGGGCUGGGGGGGCAGGCUCGGGAUGGAGAAGGAUGCCCUGAGUCAUCUGUUAAAAAUAAGCCACGUGAAAGGUGUGGCCCCUCCACACUGGAGCCAAUCACAGAGCCCCAGAGGCACCCCCAUACCCACCAGGGCGGCCUUUCCUUCGAGGUCCCACUACUACCAUGUGGCCACCUCUGCUGUGCCCUGGCCGUAGGCUGCCACCCUAGGAGGCAGUAGAUGGCUUUUUCUUUUUUUUUUUUUUUGAGGGCCGAGGGGGGGAGCUGGACCCACACCCUUCAACCUGAGUUACAUCUCCAGCCCCACCUUUUUCUUGGAUAAGAGUUCUCCGCUGCCCUGGCUGACCUCAGACUUGUGAUCCUCCUGUCUCAGCCUCUCAGUGUACUGGGAUGGCAGGUGUGCCUCAGUCACCCCGCCCUGCUGUAACCGGUUUCCAAAGGCCUCUGUCCCCCUUUCAGGAUACCCCAACCUCUCAUAGACCCAUGGCUUGUGUCCCUGGACUGGUACUUCUGGGGUGUCCCUGCCCAUGGUCCUGGUUGGCAGGACCAGCAUUUCAGAAGCCACUUGGCUGCCCCUGGCCACCAGGUGCCCAACCCGGACCACCCGGCCGCAGGCCAUGGAAGCGCAGUGACCACACCCAUGGUGGCGCCACCGGAGUGACUCAGCUGCGCCCAGCAUGGUGCAUCCCCCUCUCCCCAGAACUCCCACACCCCUCUUCCUCCCUCUCUCGUGUGUCCUCCAGGUGACUGGAUGCAUCCUGAGGUGCACCCGGACCCCAGACAGAGGAGGAGAAAGGGACCCGGGUGUCCCCAAAGAGCGUGGCACCCAGGGCCUAGGCAGGAGGGGGUGAGGCAUUGGCUCUUCUCUCAUCUCAACGCACCCCAAUUCGUGAUGCAUAAAAUGGAGGUCCCAUGGUCGUCCUGGGCCCUGCACAGAGGACACCCAAGCGGAGCCAGGGCUGGCACCACACGCCUGUCAUCCCAGCCUUGGCGAGGCUGAGGCGGGAGGAGCAAUGCGACUCUGAAGCCAACCUGGGCUCUGCAGUGAGUUCAAGGCCCGCCUGGAAUUCGUGUGAAACCUGUCUCACCCUAAAAAUAAAAAGUACAAUGUCCCACCA
Long non-coding RNA from Cavia porcellus (domestic guinea pig), 2353 nucleotides. RefSeq lists it as uncharacterized. The record is from RefSeq and is a predicted model, not a curated record. The transcript has 2 exons. Lineage: Eukaryota; Metazoa; Chordata; Mammalia; Rodentia; Caviidae.